RNAcentral lists this ribosomal RNA (618 nucleotides) under Escherichia coli. Its description in RNAcentral is "bacterial SSU rRNA". It matches the Rfam family "Bacterial small subunit ribosomal RNA", at positions 64 to 675 of the family's 1533-position model. The record is from RNAcentral. Lineage: Bacteria; Pseudomonadati; Pseudomonadota; Gammaproteobacteria; Enterobacterales; Enterobacteriaceae.
GUAACAGGAAAACAGCUUGCUGCUUCGCUGACGAGUGGCGGACGGGUGAGUAAUGUCUGGGAAACUGCCUGAUGGAGGGGGAUAACUACUGGAAACGGUAGCUAAUACCGCAUAACGUCGCAAGACCAAAGAGGGGGACCUUCGGGCCUCUUGCCAUCGGAUGUGCCCAGAUGGGAUUAGCUAGUAGGUGGGGUAACGGCUCACCUAGGCGACGAUCCCUAGCUGGUCUGAGAGGAUGACCAGCCACACUGGAACUGAGACACGGUCCAGACUCCUACGGGAGGCAGCAGUGGGGAAUAUUGCACAAUGGGCGCAAGCCUGAUGCAGCCAUGCCGCGUGUAUGAAGAAGGCCUUCGGGUUGUAAAGUACUUUCAGCGGGGAGGAAGGGAGUAAAGUUAAUACCUUUGCUCAUUGACGUUACCCGCAGAAGAAGCACCGGCUAACUCCGUGCCAGCAGCCGCGGUAAUACGGAGGGUGCAAGCGUUAAUCGGAAUUACUGGGCGUAAAGCGCACGCAGGCGGUUUGUUAAGUCAGAUGUGAAAUCCCCGGGCUCAACCUGGGAACUGCAUCUGAUACUGGCAAGCUUGAGUCUCGUAGAGGGGGGUAGAAUUCCAUGUG